RNAcentral lists this ribosomal RNA (492 nucleotides) under uncultured bacterium. RNAcentral's name for it is "partial 16S ribosomal RNA". It matches the Rfam family "Bacterial small subunit ribosomal RNA", at positions 29 to 507 of the family's 1533-position model. The record is from RNAcentral.
AGUGAACGCUGGCGGUAGGCCUAACACAUGCAAGUCGAACGGCAGCACAGUAAGAGCUUGCUCUUACGGGUGGCGAGUGGCGGACGGGUGAGGAAUACAUCGGAAUCUACUUUUUCGUGGGGGAUAACGUAGGGAAACUUACGCUAAUACCGCAUACGACCUACGGGUGAAAGCAGGGGAUCUUCGGACCUUGCGCGAUUGAAUGAGCCAAUGUCGGAUUAGCUAGUUGGCGGGGUAAAGGCCCACCAAGGCGACGAUCCGUAGCUGGUCUGAGAGGAUGAUCAGCCACACUGGAACUGGGACACGGUCCAGACUCCUACGGGAGGCAGCAGUGGGGAAUAUUGGACAAUGGGCGCAAGCCUGAUCCAGCCAUACCGCGUGGGUGAAGAAGGCCUUCGGGUUGUAAAGCCCUUUUGUUGGGAAAGAAAAGCAGCAGGUUAAUACCCCGCUGUUCUGACGGUACCCAAAGAAUAAGCACCGGCUAACUUCGUG